RNAcentral lists this ribosomal RNA (440 nucleotides) under uncultured bacterium. RNAcentral's name for it is "partial 16S ribosomal RNA". It matches the Rfam family "Bacterial small subunit ribosomal RNA", at positions 338 to 795 of the family's 1533-position model. The record is from RNAcentral.
CCUACGGGUGGCAGCAGUGGGGAAUAUUGCACAAUGGGGGAAACCCUGAUGCAGCAACGCCGCGUGAGUGAAGAAGUAUUUCGGUAUGUCAAGCUCUAUCAGCAGGGAAGAAGAUGACGGUACCUGAGUAAGAAGCCCCGGCUAACUACGUGCCAGCAGCCGCGGUAAUACGUAGGGGGCAAGCGUUAUCCGGAUUUACUGGGUGUAAAGGGGGCGUAGACGGUGAGACAAGUCUGAAGGUAAACCCCGGGGCGCAACCCCGGGACUGCUUUUGAAACUGGCUGACUGGAGUGCUGGAGAGGCAGGCGGAAUGCGUAGUGUAGCGGUGAAAUGCGUAGAUAUUAGGAAGAACACCAGUGGCGAAGGCGGCUUGCUGGACAGUAACUGACGUUGAGGCUCGAAAGCGUGGGGAGCAAACAGGAUUAGAUACCCGUGUAGUC